CGGGAAGCCAGGCGGCGACGCCGAGCGGAACCCGAAAAGGCGCCUCAGUUCGGAUUGGAGUCUGCAACCCGACUCCAUGAAGCUGGAUUCGCUAGUAAUCGCGCAUCAGCCACGGCGCGGUGAAUACGUUCCCGGGCCUUGUACACACCGCCCGUCAAGCCAUGGGAGCCGGGAGUGCCUGAAGUGCGCGGCCGCGAGGAGCGCCCUAGGGCAAGACUGGUGACUGGGGCUAAGUCGUAACAAGGUAAC
This 249-nucleotide ribosomal RNA is filed under the name uncultured bacterium. RNAcentral describes it as "partial 16S ribosomal RNA". It matches the Rfam family "Bacterial small subunit ribosomal RNA", at positions 1243 to 1500 of the family's 1533-position model. The record is from RNAcentral.